GUCAUUGUGGUGGAAUUGGUAGUCACAAUAUACUUAAAAUGUAUUGCCGAGAGGCGUAUAAGUUCGAGUCUUAUCAAUGACA
Non-coding RNA from Ogataea philodendri, 82 nucleotides. The record is from the annotation of a RefSeq genome assembly. NCBI's taxonomy places the organism in Eukaryota, Fungi, Ascomycota, Pichiomycetes, Pichiales, Pichiaceae.